This 253-nucleotide ribosomal RNA is filed under the name uncultured bacterium. RNAcentral's name for it is "partial 16S ribosomal RNA". It matches the Rfam family "Bacterial small subunit ribosomal RNA", at positions 524 to 776 of the family's 1533-position model. The record is from RNAcentral.
UACGUAGGUGGCAAGCGAUACUCGGAAUCACUAGGCGUAAAGCGCAGGUAGGAGGUUGGAUAAGUCUCUUGUGAAAGCUCCCGGCUUAACUGGGAGAGGUCAAGGGAAACUGUUCAGCUAGAGUGUGGUAGAGGAAGAUGGAAUUUCCGGUGUAGCGGUGAAAUGCGUAGAUAUCGGAAGGAACAUCAGUGGCGAAAGCGGCUUCCUGGACCAGUACCGACGUUCAGGCACGAAAGCGUGGGGAGCAAACAGG